GAGGAAAAGAAAAUAACAAUGAUUUCCCUAGUAACGGCGAGUGAAGAGGAAAGAGCUCAAAGUUGGAACCUGUUUGGCUUAGCUAAACCGGAUUGUAAACUGUAGAAGUGUUUUCCAGACACGCCUGGUAAAAAAGUCCUUUGGAACAGGGCAUCAUAGAGGGUGAGAAUCCCGUCAUUGGCCAGAGCUGUUGUCUUUUGUGAUACAUUUUCAAAGAGUCAGGUUGUUUGGGAAUGCAGCCUAAAUUGGGUGGUAAAUCUCACCUAAAGCUAAAUAUUUGCGAGAGACCGAUAGCGAACAAGUACCGUGAGGGAAAGAUGAAAAGAACUUUGAAAAGAGAGUUAAACAGUAUGUGAAAUUGUUAAAAGGGAACCGUUUGGAGCCAGACUGGCUUAACUGUAAUCAAUCUAGGCUUUGGCCUGGAUGCACUUGCGGUUUAUGCCGGCCAACGACAGUUUUGUUUGAGGGAAAAAAUUACAUUGAAUGUGGCCCUUCGGGGUGUUAUAGCUUUGUAAAAAAUACCUUGGACUGGACUGAGGAACGCAGUGAAUGCCUUUAGGCAAGAUUGCUGGGUGCUUUCGCUAAUAAAUGCUAGAAUUUCUGCUUCGGGUGGUGCUAGUGUUUAAAGGAGGAACUCGCUUAG
Molecule: ribosomal RNA, 643 nt
Filed under: Mucor hiemalis f. corticola
Lineage: Eukaryota; Fungi; Mucoromycota; Mucoromycetes; Mucorales; Mucoraceae
Description: partial 28S ribosomal RNA
Rfam family: Eukaryotic large subunit ribosomal RNA
Source: RNAcentral